This 466-nucleotide ribosomal RNA is filed under the name uncultured Rhodoferax sp. Its description in RNAcentral is "bacterial SSU rRNA". It matches the Rfam family "Bacterial small subunit ribosomal RNA", at positions 917 to 1381 of the family's 1533-position model. The record is from RNAcentral. Lineage: Bacteria; Pseudomonadati; Pseudomonadota; Betaproteobacteria; Burkholderiales; Comamonadaceae.
GGACGGGACCGCACAAGCGGUGGAUGAUGUGUUUAAUUCGAUGCAACGCGAAAACCUUACCACCUUUGACAUGUACGGAAGCCUUUAGAGAUAGAGGCGUGCUCGAAAGAGAGCCGUAACACAGGUGCUGCAUGGCUGUCGUCAGCUCGUGUCGUGAGAUGUUGGGUUAAGUCCCGCAACGAGCGCAACCCUUGUCAUUAGUUGCUACAUUCAGUUGGGCACUCUAAUGAGACUGCCGGUGACAAGCCGGAGGAAGGUGGGGAUGACGUCAAGUCCUCAUGGCCCUUAUAGGUGGGGCUACACACGUCAUACAAUGGCUGGUACAAAGGGUUGCCAACCCGCGAGGGGGAGCUAAUCCCAUAAAGCCAGUCGUAGUCCGGAUCGUAGUCUGCAACUCGACUACGUGAAGUCGGAAUCGCUAGUAAUCGUGGAUCAGAAUGUCACGGUGAAUACGUUCCCGGGUCUU